CAGCCAACCCGCGAGGGGGAGCAAAUCCCAUCAAAGCCGGUCUCAGUUCGGAUAGCAGGCUGAAACUCGCCUGCUUGAAGCCGGAAUCGCUAGUAACGGUAGGUCAGCACACUACCGUGAAUACGUUCCCGGGUCUUGUACACACCGCCCGUCAAACCAUGAAAGUCACCAAUACCUGACGUCCUAGCUUGCCUAGGCCUAAGGUAGGGGGGAUGAUUGGGGUUAAGUCGUAACAAGGUAUCCGUACCGGAAGGUGCGGAUGGAUUACCUCCUUUCU
This 277-nucleotide ribosomal RNA is filed under the name Fischerella sp. RNAcentral describes it as "partial 16S ribosomal RNA". It matches the Rfam family "Bacterial small subunit ribosomal RNA", at positions 1247 to 1533 of the family's 1533-position model. The record is from RNAcentral. Lineage: Bacteria; Bacillati; Cyanobacteriota; Cyanophyceae; Nostocales; Hapalosiphonaceae.